UUAAAGGCUUCUUUUGAAGCCAUGAUCUGCAACUUGUUCUUUCUUU
Non-coding RNA from Pteropus alecto (black flying fox), 46 nucleotides. The record is from Rfam. NCBI's taxonomy places the organism in Eukaryota, Metazoa, Chordata, Mammalia, Chiroptera, Pteropodidae.